UACGGAGGAUGCAAGCGUUAUCCGGAAUGAUUGGGCGUAAAGCGUCCGCAGGUGGCUGUGUAAGUCUGCUGUCAAAGAGCGAAGCUCAACUUCGUAAAGGCAGUGGAAACUACACGGCUAGAGUGCGUUCGGGGCAGAGGGAAUUCCUGGUGUAGCGGUGAAAUGCGUAGAUAUCUGGAGGAACACCGGUGGCGAAGGCGGCAUCCUGGACCGGCAUUGACGCUGAGGCGCGAAAGCCAGGGGAGCAAACGGG
This 253-nucleotide ribosomal RNA is filed under the name uncultured bacterium. Its description in RNAcentral is "partial 16S ribosomal RNA". It matches the Rfam family "Bacterial small subunit ribosomal RNA", at positions 524 to 776 of the family's 1533-position model. The record is from RNAcentral.